UAGGGAAUUUUCCGCAAUGGACGCAAGCCUGACGGAGCAACGCCGCGGGAGUGAAGAAGGAUUUCGGUUCGUAAAACUCUGUUGUUAGAGAAGAACAGCGCAUAGAGUAACUGUUAUGCGUGUGACGGUAUCUAACCAGAAAGCCACGGCUAACUACGUGCCAGCAGCCGCGGUAAUACGUAGGUGGCAAGCGGUGUCCGGAUUUAUUGGGCGUAAAGCGAGCGCAGGCGGUCAAUUAAGUCUGAUGUGAAAGCCCCCGGCUCAACCGGGGAGAGUCAUUGGAAACUGGUUGGCUUGAGGGCAGAAGAGGAGAGUGGAAUUCCAUGUGUAGCGGUGAAAUGCGUGGGUUUAUGGGGAAACACCAGUGGGGAAGGCGACUCUCUGGUCUGUAACUGCCGCUGAGGCUCGAAAGCGUGGGUAGCAAAAAGG
RNAcentral lists this ribosomal RNA (429 nucleotides) under Bacteroidota bacterium. Its description in RNAcentral is "Bacteroidetes bacterium partial 16S ribosomal RNA". It matches the Rfam family "Bacterial small subunit ribosomal RNA", at positions 355 to 776 of the family's 1533-position model. Lineage: Bacteria; Pseudomonadati; Bacteroidota. The record is from RNAcentral.